RNAcentral lists this ribosomal RNA (261 nucleotides) under uncultured bacterium. RNAcentral's name for it is "partial 16S ribosomal RNA". It matches the Rfam family "Bacterial small subunit ribosomal RNA", at positions 94 to 353 of the family's 1533-position model. The record is from RNAcentral.
AGUGGCGGACGGGUGAGUAACGCGUGGGUAACCUACCUCACACAGGGGGAUAACAGUUGGAAACGGCUGCUAAUACCGCAUAAGCGCACAGUACCGCAUGGUACAGUGUGAAAAACUCCGGUGGUGUGAGAUGGACCCGCGUCUGAUUAGCUAGUUGGCAGGGCAACGGCCUACCAAGGCGACGAUCAGUAGCCGACCUGAGAGGGUGACCGGCCACAUUGGGACUGAGACACGGCCCAAACUCCUACGGGAGGCAGCAUG